Non-coding RNA from Caenorhabditis elegans, 147 nucleotides. NCBI's taxonomy places the organism in Eukaryota, Metazoa, Nematoda, Chromadorea, Rhabditida, Rhabditidae. The record is from Ensembl.
GGACUGUAAAAAAAAAGAAACCAAGCUGCCUUUGUACGCAGGUGCGGUGGGAGGGCGGGCGCACUACUGUCCUUGUGGCAAGUAGAACAUUCGGUGUGUUACAGACAAAGGAAAGGUGUCCUCGCAGCGUGGUGCAAUGUGACUCCG